CAGCCGCCGCGGUAAUACGGAGGGUGCAAGCGUUAAUCGGAAUUACUGGGCGUAAAGCGUGCGUAGGCGGUGAGUUAAGUCUGCUGUGAAAUCCCCGGGCUCAACCUGGGAAUGGCAGUGGAUACUGGCUCGCUAGAGUGUGUCAGAGGAUGGUGGAAUUCCCGGUGUAGCGGUGAAAUGCGUAGAGAUCGGGAGGAACAUCAGUGGCGAAGGCGGCCAUCUGGGACAACACUGACGCUGAGGCACGAAAGCGUGGGGAGCAAACAGGAUUAGAUACCCCCGUAGUCCCUGUCUCUUAUAC
RNAcentral lists this ribosomal RNA (301 nucleotides) under uncultured bacterium. Its description in RNAcentral is "partial 16S ribosomal RNA". It matches the Rfam family "Bacterial small subunit ribosomal RNA", at positions 509 to 807 of the family's 1533-position model. The record is from RNAcentral.